Molecule: long non-coding RNA, 849 nt
Filed under: Rhinopithecus bieti (black snub-nosed monkey)
Lineage: Eukaryota; Metazoa; Chordata; Mammalia; Primates; Cercopithecidae
Description: lncRNA (ENSRBIG00000045771.1)
Source: RNAcentral
ACUAUGGGUCUGGCUGGUGACCACUAACUCGUUUAAUUCUUUUCCCUCCACCUUUCAGUGUCAAGACCAGAUACUGCAAGUUGUAGACACUUUCGAGUGGCCAGAGGGAAUCAGAGUGGAGUGCAGAGAGCUGACUUACCAGAGCACCCAUGGACUUGGACACCUAAGACGUCUGCUUGGGAUCCCACACUUUCAAGGUCUUUCCUCUGGCCUUCUUGUGGUUCUGCAACUCCUCACAGUGCUGGGAGUUGGUGAUGCCAACAGGACAUACCCUCCCAGAACCUACCUCUCCCAGAUCACUUUAAAAGGCACCCAGGACCCCAGAAUUCUCAUCCUCAAAGGCAUAGAGCUCAGUUCUUGACCCUCAACAAAUCUCUUCCUCGUAAAGAUCCUUUUGAGAGCGUAGGAUGCCCCCUGGAUGGUUUUGGUUGCAGAUUGUGGUGGUGGAGGGAGCUAUAAAAUGUAAUCUAUUACGAUUAAUUGGAUGCGCUAAUGGCAGAUUGGGUAGCGAUAACGCCAUAAGGCGUGGUGUGUGAACCAUGUGCUGCAUCUGUGCUAGCUCAGGUAAGUCAGCACACAAUGCCUGCAGCCUCCUCUCACCUCUUCCCUGAGCAGCACCUUUUGGCCUGAACGUGCCGAUCCCCCGGUUCUUCUUCUUGACAGCGACUUAACAUGCCCUGGGCAGCUUUUUAAAAUAAAUGAGUAUGAUAUUGACUAUGAAUCUAUAUAGAAGUCACUUGUUUUUCAGUCAUAAUCCAUGUCUAACUGCAGAAGAAAUUUCACACAUUUGAAAACAAAUAAAAGUGUAAAAGUGAAAACUUUUGUAACCGCAGUAUUCUGAAAUAGAAC